CUAGAGAGUUUGAGAAAACUCCCAAACCCUUUGUGAACGUACCCGAUAGUUUGCUUCGGCAGGCGGUCCCCGGGGGGACCUCCUGCCCGCCUCCGGGCGGGUGCCUGCCGCGAGGCCACUAUGAAACUCUUUGCUGUAACCGGUCGUCUGAGACGAGAGCCCGCCGAGAGGCGGCGCAAAAUAUAGUCA
This 189-nucleotide unclassified non-coding RNA is filed under the name uncultured fungus. RNAcentral's name for it is "sequence contains ITS1". Lineage: Eukaryota; Fungi. The record is from RNAcentral.